GGUCAGAGGAUUUCACGCGUAGUCGCUCGGCCGGAGUUCCUUGAUCGCUCAAACCAGGAACGUUGGUGGCCCUCCGUUCAUUGUCGACAGGGUUGAGUCCACGUUCAUUAUAAGGAGCGGCCCGGGCAGCAAGCAGGUGCCAGAUGAUUCUGCCAGUCACCAUUGGUACAUCGGCCAACUCAAGACAUUCACCCAGCCAGGCCUCCUGACAGAAAAACGCCGCCUGCCACAGUCAUACCCUGGAUCGCUGCCAGCCACUCCACACCUUGCAUGUCUUUAAUAAAUACAAUUUCACUCUACUUCAGCUUCCAAGUCGCCCUUUGGUCCGCAUCGGCUUCGCCUAGUCUGCCGAAACAGAUUCCAUAUUUUUUUCUUCAGAAUGGAGUGAUUCCAUAUCUAUUUCCCUGCACUUGCUCUAUAAAAGUAACCACAAUGUU
This is a long non-coding RNA of Corythoichthys intestinalis (scribbled pipefish), 437 nucleotides long. RefSeq lists it as uncharacterized. Lineage: Eukaryota; Metazoa; Chordata; Actinopteri; Syngnathiformes; Syngnathidae. The transcript is spliced from 3 exons. The record is from RefSeq and is a predicted model, not a curated record.